RNAcentral lists this ribosomal RNA (372 nucleotides) under uncultured organism. Its description in RNAcentral is "bacterial SSU rRNA". It matches the Rfam family "Bacterial small subunit ribosomal RNA", at positions 526 to 896 of the family's 1533-position model. The record is from RNAcentral.
CAGAGGGUGCGAGCGUUGUUCGGAAUUACUGGGCGUAAAGCGCGCGCAGGCGGCCCUUUAAGUCUGUCGGUCAAUGCCGGGGCUCAACCCCGGGCGUGCCGAGGAUACUGGAGGGCUGGAGACACGUAGAGGCAAGCGGAAUUCCGGGUGUAGCGGUGGAAUGCGUAGAGAUCCGGAAGAACACCGGAGGCGAAGGCGGCUUGCUGGGCGUGAUCUGACGCUGAGGCGCGAAAGCGUGGGGAGCGAACAGGAUUAGAUACCCUGGUAGUCCACGCCGUAAACGAUGGGCACUAGACGCUGGUGGGAUCGACCCCUUCGGUGUCGCAGCUAACGCGAUAAGUGCCCCGCCUGGGGAGUACGGCCGCAAGGCUG